GCUGGGCAUGGUGGCUCAUGCCUGUAAUCCCAGCACUUUGGGAGGCCGAGGCAGGUGGAUCACUUGAGGUCAGGAGUUCUAGACCAGCCUGGCCAACAUGGUGAAACCCUGUCUCUA
This 117-nucleotide signal recognition particle RNA is filed under the name Homo sapiens (human). RNAcentral's name for it is "Metazoan signal recognition particle RNA". It matches the Rfam family "Metazoan signal recognition particle RNA". Rfam says of the family: The signal recognition particle (SRP) is a universally conserved ribonucleoprotein. Lineage: Eukaryota; Metazoa; Chordata; Mammalia; Primates; Hominidae. The record is from Rfam by way of RNAcentral.